UACGGAGGGUGCGAGCGUUAAUCGGAAUUACUGGGCGUAAAGCGCACGUAGGCGGUUUGUUAAGCAAGAUGUGAAAGCCCAGGGCUCAACCUUGGAAUUGCAUUUUGAACUGGCAAGCUAGAGUUUUGAAGAGGGUGGUAGAAUUUCCAGUGUAGCGGUGAAAUGCGUAGAUAUUGGAAGGAAUACCAGUGGCGAAGGCGGCCACCUGGUCAAAAACUGACGCUGAGGAGCGAAAGCGUGGGGAGCAAACAGG
This 253-nucleotide ribosomal RNA is filed under the name uncultured bacterium. RNAcentral describes it as "partial 16S ribosomal RNA". It matches the Rfam family "Bacterial small subunit ribosomal RNA", at positions 524 to 776 of the family's 1533-position model. The record is from RNAcentral.